Non-coding RNA from Salmo salar (Atlantic salmon), 72 nucleotides. NCBI's taxonomy places the organism in Eukaryota, Metazoa, Chordata, Actinopteri, Salmoniformes, Salmonidae. The record is from Rfam.
UCCCGUGUGGCUCAGUUGGUAGAGCAUGGCUCUUGCAACACCAGGGUUGUGGGUUUGUUUCCCACGGGGGAA